AGCAGUAGCCACGGUAAUACAGAGGGUGCGAGCGUUAAUCGGAUUUACUGGGCGUAAAGCGUGCGUAGGCGGCUUUUUAAGUCGGAUGUGAAAUCCCUGAGCUUAACUUAGGAAUUGCAUUCGAUACUGGGAAGCUAGAGUAUGGGAGAGGAUGGUAGAAUUCCAGGUGUAGCGGUGAAAUGCGUAGAGAUCUGGAGGAAUACCGAUGGCGAAGGCAGCCAUCUGGCCUAAUACUGACGCUGAGGUACGAAAGCAUGGGGAGCAAACAGGAUUAGAUACCCCCGUAGCCCUGUCUCUUAUACA
Molecule: ribosomal RNA, 303 nt
Filed under: uncultured bacterium
Lineage: Bacteria
Description: partial 16S ribosomal RNA
Rfam family: Bacterial small subunit ribosomal RNA
Source: RNAcentral